This 1452-nucleotide ribosomal RNA is filed under the name uncultured Bordetella sp. RNAcentral describes it as "partial 16S-23S ribosomal RNA intergenic spacer". It matches the Rfam family "Bacterial small subunit ribosomal RNA". The record is from RNAcentral. Lineage: Bacteria; Pseudomonadati; Pseudomonadota; Betaproteobacteria; Burkholderiales; Alcaligenaceae.
AGUUCGAUCAUGGCUCAGAUUGAACGCUGGCGGGAUGCUUUACACAUGCAAGUCGAACGGCAGCACGGACUCGGUCUGGUGGCGAGUGGCGAACGGGUGAGUAAUGUAUCGGAACGUGCCUAGUAGCGGGGAUAACUACGCGAAAGUUGCAGCUAAUACCGCAUACGCCCUUCGGGGAAAGCGGGGACCUUCGGGCCUCGCACUAUUAGAGCGGCCGAUACCGGAUUAGCUAGCUGGUGGGGUAACGGCUCACCAGUGACGAUCCGUAGCCGGUUUGAGAGAGGACGACCAGCCACACUGGGACUGAGACACGGCCUGUGACUUACGGGAGGCAGCAGUGUAAUUUGGACAAUGAACCUUUUCGAUCCAGCCAUCCCGCGUGUGCGAUGAAGGCCUUCGGGUUGUAAAGCAUUUUUGGCAGGAAGAAACGGCACGGAUAAUACCCCCGUGCAACUGACGGUACCGUGGGAAUAAGCACCGGCUAACUACGUGCCGGCAGCCGCGGUAAUGGCUGCAGGGUGCAAGCGUUAAUCGGAAUUACUGGGCGCAAGCGUGCGCAGGCGGUUCGGAAAGAAAGAUGUGAAAUCCCAGAGCUUAACUUUGAACUGCAUUUAACUACCGGAGUCAGAGGUCGAGGGUGUGGACUCGCGGCAGUGAAAUGCGUAGAUAUGCGGAGGAACACCGAUGGCGAAGGCAGCCUCCUGGGAUAACACUGACGCUCAUGCACGAAAGCGUGGGGAGCAAACAGGAUUAGAUACCCUGCAGUCCACGCCCUAAACGAUGCUCACCAGCUGUUAAAUGGCCUGGUAGCGCAAGCACGGCGUGAAGUUGACCGCCUGGGGAGUACGGUCGCAAGAUUAAAACUCAAAGGAAUUAUCGGGGACUCGCACAAGCGGUGGAUGAUGUGGAUUAAUUCGAUGCAACGCGAAAACCUUACCUACCCUUGACAUGUCUGGAAUCCCGAAGAGAUUUUAGAGUGCUCGCAAGAGAACCGGAACACAGGUGCUGCAUGGCUGUCGUCAGCUCGUGUCGUGAGAUGUUGGGUUAAGUCCUUGCAACGAGCGCAACCCUUGUCAUUAGUUACGAAAGGGCACUCUUAAUGAGACUGCCGGUGACAAACCGGAGGAAGGUGGGGAUGACGUCAAGUCCUCAUGGCCCUUAUGGGUAGGGCUUCACACGUCAUACAAUGGUCGGGACAGAGGUCGCCAACCCGCGAGGGGGAGCCAAUCCCAGAAACCCGAUCGUAGUCCGAUCGCAGUCUGCAACUCGACUGCGUGAAGUCGGAAUCGCUAGUAAUCGCGGAUCAGCAUGUCGCGGUGAAUACGUUCCUGGUCUUGUACACACCGCCCGUCACACCAUGGAGUGGGUUUUACCAGAAGUAGUUAGCCUAACCGUAAGGAGGGCGAUUACCACGGUAGGAUUCAUGACUGGGGUGAAGUCGUAACAAGGUAG